AGUGAACGCUGGCGGUAGGCCUAACACAUGCGAGUCGAACGGCAGCACAGUAAGAGCUUGCUCUUACGGGUGGCGAGUGGCGGACGGGUGAGGAAUACAUCGGAAUCUACUUUUUCGUGGGGGAUAACGUAGGGAAACUUACGCUAAUACCGCAUACGACCUACGGGUGAAAGCAGGGGAUCUUCGGACCUUGCGCGAUUGAAUGAGCCGAUGUCGGAUUAGCUAGUUGGCGGGGUAAAGGCCCACCAAGGCGACGAUCCGUAGCUGGUCUGAGAGGAUGAUCAGCCACACUGGAACUGAGACACGGUCCAGACUCCUACGGGAGGCAGCAGUGGGGAAUAUUGGACAAUGGGCGCAAGCCUGAUCCAGCCAUACCGCGUGGGUGAAGAAGGCCUUCGGGUUGUAAAGCCCUUUUGUGGGGAAAGAAAAGCAGCAGGUUAAUACCCCGCUGUUCUGACGGUACCCAAAGAAUAAGCACCGGCUAACUUCGUG
RNAcentral lists this ribosomal RNA (492 nucleotides) under uncultured bacterium. RNAcentral's name for it is "partial 16S ribosomal RNA". It matches the Rfam family "Bacterial small subunit ribosomal RNA", at positions 29 to 507 of the family's 1533-position model. The record is from RNAcentral.